Pyrus x bretschneideri (Chinese white pear) is the source of this 398-nucleotide long non-coding RNA. RefSeq lists it as uncharacterized. The transcript is spliced from 2 exons. The record is from RefSeq and is a predicted model, not a curated record. NCBI's taxonomy places the organism in Eukaryota, Viridiplantae, Streptophyta, Magnoliopsida, Rosales, Rosaceae.
CUCUAACUUUCUCUCUAAUCUUUCAAUAUUCUUUGUAUUGCUUCCUUCUUCUUUUUCCCUCUGCAACUCUAGUUACUUUGUUAAGAUGGUAUCAAUUGCCCGAACGAUCCUUGGUUCUAUCUCUUCCGCUGAUGAGUUCGUUGAAGUUCUUGGUGGUUCACUGCAGUUCUUGCAGAUUUGCUGAUUGGUUUUCUUUGAUUCUUGGGUUGCUGAACAACGUAUCAGGCAGUACAACUGUAGAAGCAGUCCAAUACGGACGGCAAGGCGAAGAGAAGAGAAAUCACUAAUAGUGACGGGUGGACUUUUUCAACAAUCUAAAUCUAAUGGGACAUGUGAAAGGUACUCAAAUAUUUGUACAGUAUAUUUUUAUUGAUCGGAAUAUGUAUAAUUUAUACAUA